RNAcentral lists this small RNA (138 nucleotides) under Bdellovibrio sp. Its description in RNAcentral is "partial 6S RNA". The stretch from base 34 to 138 matches the Rfam family "6S / SsrS RNA", at positions 41 to 146 of the family's 187-position model. From Rfam's summary of the family: E. coli 6S RNA was the first non coding RNA to be sequenced, but its function was unknown until recently. It consists of 184 nucleotides that fold into an extended hairpin structure with a large single-stranded internal bulge. Lineage: Bacteria; Pseudomonadati; Bdellovibrionota; Bdellovibrionia; Bdellovibrionales; Pseudobdellovibrionaceae. The record is from RNAcentral.
GGUUCGCUGACGUAAGACUCAUCGAAAAUAAACCUUACAAGCAUAUAUUUGGGGGCUGUCCCUGACAAUGGUGUGCAAGCUCACCUCGUAGUGAGAAGCCUAAAGUUGUUAUCAUGGCCACCCACCUUGCAAUCAGAG